AACGAACGCUGGCGGCAUGCCUAACACAUGCAAGUCGAACGAGACCUUCGGGUCUAGUGGCGCACGGGUGCGUAACGCGUGGGAACCUGCCCUUAGGUUCGGAAUAACUCCCCGAAAGGGGUGCUAAUACCGGAUAAUGUCUUCGGACCAAAGAUUUAUCGCCUUUGGAUGGGCCCGCGUUGGAUUAGCUAGUUGGUAGGGUAAAAGCCUACCAAGGCGACGAUCCAUAGCUGGUCAGAGAGGAUGAUCAGCCACACUGGGACUGAGACACGGCCCAGACUCGUACGGGAGGCAGCAGUGGGGAAUAUUGGACAAUGGGCGAAAGCCUGAUCCAGCAAUGCCGCGUGAGUGAUGAAGGCCUUAGGGUUGUAAAGCUCUUUUACCCGGGAUGAUAAUGACAGUACCGGGAGAAUAAGCACCGGCUAACUCCGUG
RNAcentral lists this ribosomal RNA (433 nucleotides) under uncultured bacterium. RNAcentral's name for it is "partial 16S ribosomal RNA". It matches the Rfam family "Bacterial small subunit ribosomal RNA", at positions 29 to 507 of the family's 1533-position model. The record is from RNAcentral.